This 350-nucleotide ribosomal RNA is filed under the name uncultured bacterium. RNAcentral's name for it is "bacterial SSU rRNA". It matches the Rfam family "Bacterial small subunit ribosomal RNA", at positions 355 to 702 of the family's 1533-position model. The record is from RNAcentral.
UGAGGAAUAUUGGACAAUGGGCGAAAGCCUGAUCCAGCCAUGCCGCGUGCAGGAAGACGGCCCUACGGGUUGUAAACUGCUUUUAUAUAGGAAUAAACCCCUCUACGUGUAGAGGGCUGAAGGUACUAUACGAAUAAGGAUCGGCUAACUCCGUGCCAGCAGCCGCGGUAAUACGGAGGAUCCAAGCGUUAUCCGGAUUUAUUGGGUUUAAAGGGUGCGCAGGCGGGAUAAUAAGUCAGUGGUGAAAUCUUCCAGCUUAACUGGGAAACUGCCAUUGAUACUGUUAUUCUUGAGUUUGGUUGAAGUAGGCGGAAUGAGGCAUGUAGCGGUGAAAUGCAUAGAUAUGCCUC